Molecule: long non-coding RNA, 539 nt
Organism: Oncorhynchus tshawytscha (Chinook salmon)
Lineage: Eukaryota; Metazoa; Chordata; Actinopteri; Salmoniformes; Salmonidae
Source: Ensembl
UCAGUCCAGGAAGACUCCCCAGUCAGUCAAGUAGGAGGAGUCUAUCCAUUACAUCAGUCCAGGAAGACUCCCCCAGUCAAACAAGUAGGAGGAGUCUAUCCAUUACAUCAGUCCAGGAAGACUCCCCCAGUCAGUCAGGUAGGAGGAGUCUAUCCAUUACAUCAGUCAUGUAGGAGGAGUCUAUCCAUUACAUCAGUCCAGGAAGACUCCCCCAGUCAGUCAGGUAGGAGGAGUCUAUCCAUUACAUCAGUCCAGGAAGACUCCCCCAGUCAGUCAGGUAGGAGGAGUCUAUCCAUUACAUCAGUCCAGGAAGACUCCCCCAGUCAGUCAGGUAGGAGGAGGGCGUAGUGGUGAAACCCCAUCAAAGCCAGUUCAGCACAGCAGCAAUGGAGGACAGUGGUGAGUAUGUAUGAGACAGUAUGGAUGCACAUGUGUGUUCCUUACAAUACGUUCUUGUGUCUCUGUAUACUGUUGAUGGAUAAAGUUCUCCACAUCCUGCUGUGUGUGUGUGUGUGUGUGUGUGUGUGUGUGUGUGUGUG